GCAAAGCUCCGAUCUUCAAAAGCAAGAGAAAAUAGAGAAAGCUUCAAUGGCGGAAAAACAUGAAAAUCUCAGCUCAACAUCGGAACAACAAUCGUCUUCUUCUGCCUCUGCUUAUCAAAAAUCUCCAGAAGAAACCCUUAAGAAACAACCCCAGCUCCCAUCAUUUCAGGGUUCACCGAUGUUAAAUUAUCAGAUGCUCCAAGCCAUGUAUCCAACACUGCUUCCUGGAGCUUUCGGUAUGCAGCCAAAUCAGGAGGAGUUGAACCAUGGACCAGGCCUUUAUGCUGUACCUGUUGCCCCUUUUAUGGGACAAUAUGCAGGGUUUCCACCAAACACUCUAAUUCCAUUUACUUACGCUGUACCUACUGGACCUAGUGUUCCAGAAAAUGGAGCUGUAGGUGAGGAGCAAGGUCAGAUGGGACAGCAGCAGCCUCAGCAGCAACAGCUUGGACCCCAACGACAAAUAGUUGUCAGAAGAUUUCAAAUUGCAUUUCAGCUAGAUCUCUUGCUUAUUUUGAAGCUGGCUGCAGUGAUUUUUUUGUUCAAUCAAGAUGGAUCAAGACAGAGACUUGUUCUGCUUGUGUUUUUAGCUUCACUUGUGUACCUAUAUCAAACUGGAGCUCUUGCACCCUUGGUACGGUGGCUUUCACAAGGAAUGCAGAGGGCUGCUGCACCUCCCCAACCACCUAGGCCAGCUGUAAGGGCAGAUAAUGUACCAGGUGCUGGAAGGCAAGGAAAUGACAAUGUUGCAGCUGGAGAGGGACAACCUGGAGGUGAAAAUGAGAAUCUACUAGGUAACGAUGUAAAUAGGGUAGGCGAGAAUGAGCAGGCAGUGGAACCCGGAGCUGCUGACGCUGGCAACCGUUGGUGGGGUAUCGCAAAGGAGAUCCAAAUGAUUGUCUUUGGCUUCAUAACUUCCCUUCUUCCAGGUUUUCACAACAUUGACUAGAUUGUACAGAUCAAGUAGCAGUUGCAGAUAGCAAAGAGGGAUAAAGAGAAUUUUUCUUUUGCUACCAUGUUGUUUUGAGAGGACAUCAAAUGUAUAACUUAAAGAUAGUUUUCUCUUCUAUUUGGUCAUAACAUAGAUCAUCAUAGUUUUCUCUUCUAUUUGGUCAUAACAUAGAUCAUC
RNAcentral lists this unclassified non-coding RNA (1129 nucleotides) under Hevea brasiliensis (rubber tree). The record is from RNAcentral. Lineage: Eukaryota; Viridiplantae; Streptophyta; Magnoliopsida; Malpighiales; Euphorbiaceae.